CGAUGGGGCUCACCUCUUACCAUUCCGAACAGAGAAGUUAAGCCCAUUAGCGCCGAUGGUACUACAUUUGUGGGAGAGUAGGUCGUUGCCUUUU
Molecule: ribosomal RNA, 94 nt
Filed under: Algibacter amylolyticus
Lineage: Bacteria; Pseudomonadati; Bacteroidota; Flavobacteriia; Flavobacteriales; Flavobacteriaceae
Source: RNAcentral